Molecule: ribosomal RNA, 400 nt
Filed under: uncultured bacterium
Lineage: Bacteria
Description: bacterial SSU rRNA
Rfam family: Bacterial small subunit ribosomal RNA
Source: RNAcentral
GGGGAAUAUUGGACAAUGGGGGCAACCCUGAUCCAGCAAUGCCGCGUGUGUGAAGAAGGUCUUCGGAUUGUAAAGCACUUUCGACGGGGACGAUGAUGACGGUACCCGUAGAAGAAGCCCCGGCUAACUUCGUGCCAGCAGCCGCGGUAAUACGAAGGGGGCUAGCGUUGCUCGGAAUGACUGGGCGUAAAGGGCGUGUAGGCGGUUUUGACAGUCAGAUGUGAAAUCCCCGGGCUUAACCUGGGAGCUGCAUUUGAGACGUUAAGACUAGAGUGUGAGAGAGGGUUGUGGAAUUCCCAGUGUAGAGGUGAAAUUCGUAGAUAUUGGGAAGAACACCGGUGGCGAAGGCGGCAACCUGGCUCAUUACUGACGCUGAGGCGCGAAAGCGUGGGGAGCAAAC